UACGGGGGGGGCAAGCGUUGUUCGGAAUUACUGGGCGUAAAGCGCACGUAGGCGGAUCUUUAAGUCGGGGGUGAAAUCCUGGAGCUCAACUCCAGAACUGCCUUCGAUACUGAAGAUCUCGAGUCCGGGAGAGGUGAGUGGAACUGCGAGUGUAGAGGUGAAAUUCGUAGAUAUUCGCAAGAACACCAGUGGCGAAGGCGGCUCACUGGCCCGGUACUGACGCUGAGGUGCGAAAGCGUGGGGAGCAAACAGG
This 253-nucleotide ribosomal RNA is filed under the name uncultured bacterium. Its description in RNAcentral is "partial 16S ribosomal RNA". It matches the Rfam family "Bacterial small subunit ribosomal RNA", at positions 524 to 776 of the family's 1533-position model. The record is from RNAcentral.